This 191-nucleotide ribosomal RNA is filed under the name uncultured bacterium. RNAcentral's name for it is "partial 16S ribosomal RNA". It matches the Rfam family "Bacterial small subunit ribosomal RNA", at positions 310 to 521 of the family's 1533-position model. The record is from RNAcentral.
ACUAGUGAUUGGGAUCGCCCUUACUCCUACGGGAGGCAGCAGUGGGGAAUAUUGCACAAUGGGCGCAAGCCUGAUGCAGCAACGCCGCGUGCGGGAAGAAGGCCCUAGGGUUGUAAACCGCUUUCAGCAGGGAAGAAAAUGACGGUACCUGCAGAAGAAGGUGCGGCCAACUACGUGCCAGCAGCCGCGGU